GGGCAGUUGGCGCAGUGGUUAGCGCGCUACUUUGACAUAGUAGAGGUCACAGGUUCAAAUCCUGUACUGCCCA
Molecule: transfer RNA, 73 nt
Filed under: Minisyncoccota bacterium
Lineage: Bacteria; Bacillati; Minisyncoccota
Description: tRNA-Val
Rfam family: tRNA
About the family: Transfer RNA (tRNA) molecules are approximately 80 nucleotides in length.
Source: RNAcentral